This 14146-nucleotide long non-coding RNA is filed under the name Podarcis lilfordi (Lilford's wall lizard). Lineage: Eukaryota; Metazoa; Chordata; Lepidosauria; Squamata; Lacertidae. The record is from RNAcentral.
AAAAAACUAAGCAAAGCUAAGUGUUCCCUAUAAAGUAAUAUGCAAAUUCCUUUUAUUUCAGGACUCUCCAUGCUUAUGCACAAUCCUACCUCUCUUCACUUCAGCUGUAGGACCAGGCUGUCCAUUGGAUACAUGGGACAAAAUUACACAGAUGUAAAAGAAUCUCUAAGCCGUCAGCGCCCAGGCACUUCUGCCAUUAAGAUGCCAUGUAUUCAAUGUAAGCACAAUCACAUACAGUCAUACCUCAUGUUAUGGACGCUUCAGGAUACGUGUCUUGGGGUUACGGACCGCGGGAAACCCGGAAGUACCGGAACAGGUUACUUCCGGGUUUCGCUGUGGGUUGCGGACGUGCCUCCGUCACAGAUUACAUCCACAACCCGAGGUUCCACUGUAAUUUGGUUCCAGGCACAGGACUGAACAUCCAAAAAGAUCCACUUUCAUUUUAUAAAGAUCUGUUUCAAGCCCAUAGGGUUGGAGGAAGAGUGUAUGGACAAUGGAAUCUCAGAACCUUGAAUGGGAAGUUGAACAAGUUAUGCAGUGUUCAGAAGUGGGGCUUCAGUAACCUGCAUAACUCAGUGUUCCUUCUUAUAAGCAGAGAAUAAAUUAUGCAAAAUAUGGAAAUACAUGCAGAUUUGCAAUUUAUACAGGAGUCAGAAUACAGAUUAAGUGGACUUAGAAAUUUAUUUUCUUAGUGCAGAAUAAUAUAGCUUUCCACACCACUGUCUUCAGCAAUUCUGACAGUAAGGAAUGCAAGGUUACCCAAUCAUGCCAUUAGAAUAAGUUGAUGGAUCGUAAUAUGUGCACAUGUGUAUAAAGAAUAACUAAAUGAGAACGGCAUCUUCUCUGUUUCCAUUUGCCAUUAAAACCAUUUAGUUCAUGGUGCUUUUGAAUCAUCUGAAAAGAAGAGGUAAAUGAUAACGUCAAGUAAGCAAUCCAGAUUGCCUUCAAAAUUUUCAGACAAGAAUAAAUCAAUGCACAAGUGAAAGCCACAGCAGGAAACCAUAAUAACCAACUGAAGUUUCAUUUUCCUGUCUAUUGCAGUGGGUUAAUAUUGCAGUGCAGAGCUUUUUGCCCCAUUACUCAUUUGUGAGAAAGCAAGAGGUUUUAGACAAAAACUUCCUGUGGAUUAUUACUUAUGAGUCCCCCCAACUUUUUAUUGAAUUUUUGUUGCAUGCAAAACCUCUUUAACUAUCAUAUUUACUUUUUUAUGUUCUUAAUUUUUAAUGUUCUUAAUUCAAUAGCAUGCAUCAAGUUAUUGGUUUGCUUUUGUUUUAUUAUGUAUUUUGUGUUCUCGUUUUAUAUUUUUAUGUUGUGAACCACCCUGUGAUCUUCAGAUAACCAAUUAAAACUCAGGUAUACAAAUUUAAACAAACAAAUAAAUAAAUUCUUACAGUUUGUUAAUGAAGAAAUUAGCAACAGGAGCAGGUGGGAAAUAGGCUUGGAGGUUGUUCACCUAUACACUGACUUAAAGGCUUUCAGUCAUGAUAUAAACUAAUUAAGUGAGCACAGAAUUGCUGGUGAACCCCACAAAAUUGCAAGUCACUCUGUGUGUAUAAUAGACAGCUAUUCCUAACUACAGAACUUGGGAACCAAAAGCCUAUCUUUCUGACAGGCAAUUUGCUAAACAAGCUUCAGUUUAGAUAAGAGAUGGGAUAUAUGAAACUCCCUGCAGAACACUCUGCUUAAUGUAACCGAAAUGCCAUAACUUUUGGUCACACUCAAUCUAACCUUGUUCUUAGAACACUCUUGUACCGUAUUAAUCCAGAUUUACAGACCAAUCCCAAACAUAGUUACAUGGAAAUACAUUUCACUGCAUUCAAUAGGAUUUACUUUUCUGGUAAAUGUGCUUAUAGGAUUGUAACCUAAAUCAUUCAGGAUUUGCCUGGAUAUUUUGUACUUUAAAUGUAAUGUAGCCAUCACAAAACCUAUUUACAAUAUCUCCCUUCCAGUUCACCUGGAGCACUUUAUGGCCAGAAUUAACUCCUAACAACAGAGAUUGUUUAGUCUACUAUUUAUGUAACUCACAUGUGUCUGUCAUGGGGGCUGGACAACUUACACUUUUUAAAAGAUGUUUGCAGACGGAAGGGAGGAUUUAUCCAAUAACAAUGGGGUAUGAUGUUUCAUGUGACUCUAGGCCCAUGUCUUACAUAUAAUCAACAAAACUUUGUCCAAACUAGGAUUACAUUGCUCCAGCUUUCAAAAACCAGUUUCCCAAAGAGUAAAUGCUAUGGUUUGUUUUUGAUUCCUUACCCAUUUCAGUCUGCAGUCAUUUACACCAGCAGUAGCUAGCCCAUAUCUUUCUCACUAGCAAGAGAAUUCGAUAAAUAUGGGACCACCACCCAAUGUGUCCCUGCUGCUUACAAUUAAUCCCUCCCCGUCUCUUAAGUUUUUAUAAUGUACUGGGUUUUUCGGCAUCAGUUCCUGCAGUGCCAUAAUCUCAGAGACAUUUCUGUUCACACAACAUUGCUGCAGGUUAACUUUCAUGUUGGAUGCAUUUUGACACCUGACCCCAAUCUCAGUACUUUUCCGAAGCAUGGUGGCCUUUUGCAUCAUAUCUACAAGUGCUUUAAAGCAUCGUGUUAUGGCUCAAUUGUUGUUUAGCUCUUAAACAACAGGUGCAAGAUUAAGAAUCAAGCAGCAUGUGGCCUCAGUGUGUGCAAAGUAGUGUUCCUGCCAAAAAAAUAGACUCCUUCGGAGUAGUACGUCUUAACCAUUUAAAAUUAUGUGGCUUCAAGUCUUAUUGAUACAUAAUAUGGGAUAGAGACAUUAUAUUCAGAAGAAUAUUCCCUCAAAUCUUCCUUCCAGUUCCUCUCUGUGGGUUGCAUCCAGUGCUGUAUAACCAGAGUUCCCUUUGCACUAUAGGGAGUUGCCCUUCCUCUCCUCUUCCUUCAGACCCCCAAUAUCUGAUGCAGAGGGUUCCCCAACCUUCUGGAGCAGAUUUUGAAGAUGCAAGGGGGGAAUGCAGGGGAGAUGAGGGGGGAGUUCCCUUGUGUAAACUGGAAUUUUCUGCACAAGUGGAAGAGCAGUAUUGGAUACAGUCCAAUACAGUCAUAUGGUACUGCAGGGGUACUUGGUGCCCUCCAGAUGUUGUUCAACUAUAACUCCCAUCAGCCUCAGUCAGCAUGAUCAUUGGCCAGGGAUGACAAAAAGAUUAGAUCAGCAACAUCUGUAGAACACCACAUUGGCUACCCUGUGCCUGCUGUAAGGCUAAGCAUAUGGAUGCAUGAAAUAAACACACGUCCUUCUCCUGUGACUCCAUCUCUCUUAUUUUUCUCUGGUCUCCACUGUAUUGAAUUGUAGAUGGCAAGCUUCUCGGGAUAGGGGCCUGUAUUUUCCCAAAUGUUAUAAAAUAAGACUUACGUAGGUAACAUGCUUAUGAUGCAAUCCAAUACAUGUUUACUCAGUAGUAAAUCCUGUUGAGUUUAGUGGGAUUUAUUGCAAAGUACGUGUGUACAGUAUAGGAUUUCAUCCUGAAUUUUCAAAGUACUAUAAUCCCCCUGAUUGGCUUUAUAGUGGCAGUAAAGGAAAACAAUUCACUUCAAUACUUGUUCUUCCAAGGUUUUUCUUUAAACAUUUUGCUCUUUUUUCAAACACAUUUGUCUUCUUGCCUUUGCAUCAUCCAAAUACACAUUGUUAAAUGAUUAAAGAUUGUCAAAUCCCAGUAGAUGAUGUUAGGGUAUAGCCUGUAGUAUUGCAGCCCAUUUUCAUGCAGGGUUUUCACCAUUAAUAACCGACUUAACAAGCCAAAACUAAACAUUCCCAAUGUUAGAGAAAACUGCACCUGGAAUCAUAGAAAUGUUUCUGCCCCCCCCCCCCCCGACACAAAAUGGUAACCUUAACAGAAUGUGAUUGCAACAUCCUUCCUCUUGCUACAUAGCUACUUGAGCACCCAAUGGAGGGCCAUUUCACACAAAAUAUGUCCUUCAAUUUGACUAUGAAGGAAUUUUAUGAAACACAGCCAUAUGUUCCUGGAAGACUGCUAAUCAUGGAUCUGCAAUUGCAAAUGAUUCUUUAUGGACAGUACCGCAGAUGAUGGCACCCUCUGGAAAACAAGGGCAGUGGCUAUGUUAUACAAAUUACUGCAAUAGAAGACUAGUGUGAAACUACACACGUGUGAACUAGAUUUCAAAAAGGAGUGAAACAUGGUAUUUCCAUGCUCCUAAAUAUAAUACGGGAAGCAGUCCUAGAGGCUGCAAUAAGCAAAAAUGGAAGGGGCAGAUGCUGUUAGAGAUAAGCAAACUUUUUCUCUUUUCCUGCUGCUGAAUAUAAAAAAGAGAUACACUGUAGAUAAAUGACAAUUAAUGGCAAUGUAGAAAAGGCAAUUAAUUACAGUCAGCAAAUGGCACGAGACAACGGGUAAAUGGUGAUGGAUUAACAAUCAAUUAAAGGCAGAGAGGAGACCAUCUGUUAAAAAUGGUAAGAGUGAAUGUUCAGUUGAUCGAUAUCAAUGAAGAGCUAGGUAUAAGAUAGUGAACAGUAUUAACAAUGGGCAGGUACUCUGCACCUGAUCUUAGCAGUCUCUCAGAAGAAGGAGAGUGAAGAAUUGCAUGCAAAAGGAGUAUGAAGCAAAUAGUUAAACUAUUCCAGGAAGAGGGAGACUUGAAGGUCAUCUCAUUAGCUCUAACGGGCCAACGCACUAAAAUGUCUUAUGAUUAAGAAUUUUUGUGAUUAUUAUUUUUUAACAGUUGUGACAGCAGUGAAGACAGUUCUUAUGAACAUAUUUUAAAGGUGAAAAAUAUGCAUGGUAUUUCAAGGAUCUCGGCCCUUAUGGAUGCUCUAUAAUCAUGAAAGGCAGGAUUUGAAAACUAUUUAGUUAGUAAAGAGGAAUCUAAACAUGCGAUUGAAAUGUGGAGAUUGGAAUGCUACACUGAAGACACAAAUAUGUUCAGCUCUCAUAAUCUCAUUAGAGAUUCAUCAUCCAUACAUUGUUGCUCUUGCUUAUUUGACAAAAUAGGAUAAGCAAUGAGAAAGAUGGCAUACGGUUGGCAAGCAUACAUGAAAGAAACAUAUAUGACUCCAGAUGUGUGAGCAAAGAAGCCUGAAAGAUUACAUAAAUUGGGCAUCUAUGGUUACAAUCCACAAAUUCAACAGAAUGUGUAACCCGCUAUGUUCCACUUCACAUAGAACAGUCACCAAGCGACCCAAACUUGUCAUUUUUCACUGCACCUAUAUUUGCUUCAUUGGUUUAUAUUUGUAAGCCUCUUUGAGCCCAGUGCUAUAGGGUGACCUAGAAAUAUUCUUUAAUAUUAUAUGUUCCAUACUGUUGUUUUUAUUUUAUUUUUAUUUUAUUUAAUGUAAGCUGUUCUGGGCAACUGGAAGGGUGGGAUACAAAUCCUCUUAAUAAACAAAAUCUAUUGAUGUUGCUGACAUCGUUCUGUCUGUUUCUCUCUUUUUCCAUUGCUUAAUUUCUGCACCUGCCACCCAUUAUCCAGUUUGCCCUAACCACACUUAAGUUGCAGUUAUGGCCCUUAAAAAAAGAAGAAGAAGAAGAUUACAUUUGAGCCCUGCCUAUAGUAAGAGACCAGACUGGAACUCUUUAAGACUGGUGUAGGCCAAAGCAAUUUAAGGACAACCAGACAUUUGCCUUUUAUUUGAAACACCCAGGAAUUAUGGCCUGUAAUUCAGUGGCAGAGUACACGCCUUGCAUUCAAAAGAUUGCCAUAUGAGCAGAUUUAAGUCAAAAUUAAACACUUUUGAAACUCCACGCUUAUACCUCUUUGGUUGAACUUUAUGAGUGGCUUGUUGGUGUCACAGAUUGUGUUUGUGACUAUCAGGACCUAGGGCUUAUUUUAAGCCAUAGCUCCCCAGGAUUCACGUCCUAUUUUCAUCUCUGGGCUCAGACAUGAAAAAUGAUGUAGUAAGAAAGGAAUGCCUUUCCCUUGCUACUGUGUAAUCAUGGCCAGACGGUCCCCAUGAGUCUGGGAUUAGGGGUGCAGGUUUACAGGUCAUUGGUCAGGACUUCAAACUACACAUCCCAUGUGAGAACCCAGCAGCACCUCUCUGUUUAAGAAAUGUGUAUCAUAUUUCCAGAGUAGAUCUUCAUACCUACUGGGUGGCAAAUUUGUGUGGGGAGAUGCACUUAUCAGAGGUUAAGCUCCCCCAAAAUGCUACAGUAGUUACUUUUGAGAAAGAAACCAAAUCACCCUUUUACAUGGCAAAAUUUCAGCUAUCAUCUGCUUUUAGCCCCCAAGAAAAGAGAAGCAGAAUUCAUUCAAUUUAUAAGAAGCUUAUGAUGUCAGUUGUGAAAUGUCAACAGAUAGCAACUUAGUCUAAUCCCCAAAAGAUGACCUACUUGAAGAUGUUUGACAGCCUAUGCAAUCUCUUUGUGCAGAGUCAAUGAAUGUCACUUAAAGGAGCUGAAUUUCAAAUGUAUCAGAUUUUGUACCAGCCACUAUAUUACUAUUGGAUCCAAUUUUGACUUUACUGUCUGACAUUUGAGGGCAGAAAGAGUGCUAAAGAGGACAUUAUGUUCAGCCACUGCAAACUCUGCAGGAUUCUACCUCAAAUCUCUCAUGUUCCUUUAAUUAAAUGCAUCUCUAGAAUGUUCACUUCUAUUACCAAAGACUUGAAAUAUGAACUUCAUUAUUACAUUUCUUUUAGAAUGAGCCUGUUGCCUGGCUGUGAAUGGUCCUGAAUGUCACACACUGAAAUCUGGGUGUCAGCAAGCAAUUUAUCAGGAAGGUAACCAAACUGGGAGGAUACCAUGCCCUCAAGCUGGCAAGCAAUGAUGGACAGCUUGAACGCAGUUGAUACUGAAUAACCAUGCCAGAGUUAGAAUUUAUAAGGAAAUGUAGGCUCCCUAGCUGGAAUGACAUCCUCUGGUCAUCUGAAGCACAGAGGAAAAGCAGGCUAGCAGCAACCUACUUUGGCAAUGCAGCAAGGAAGGCAGCUGAGUCCUUCCUUACCAUUAACCCCAAACUGAGCCCUCUGGUGCCUUGCAUUAUAUUAGGGUUGACAGCUUUAUUCCUGGUUGCUUUGUUACGAUUGGCUACUGCAUUUGUCCAUAUCCUGUCCUCCAAUGGGGAUUAAGAGCACUGGGAAUUGUAGCUCUGUGAGAGGUAAACCAUAGAACCCAGGAUUUGGGGGGUAGGGAGAUAUGCAUUAAAUGUAUGUUAUACAGUAUAGCCAAUAUAAGUUGCUGCCUGUUGACGUUUCACAACUACCGGUAGUUAGGGGCAGCUUGUUUUCAAGCAACGUGCAUUUGAUAGAGCGCAGUGGUUUUCAUGCACAUUUUUGUCCCUCAUUUUAAACAGGAUUCCAAAUAUUCUGCUCUGUGGAUGUUCCUGUCAAAAAUAGUGCUUUCAGGGCAGCUGAAAUAUUUCAUGACUGACUGUAAAUCUUUUUUUAAAAAAGAAAAAACACCAACCAGUCCUUUUCUCUGUCCUUAUUUUCCUUCUCUGCUGCUGAUUUGGUGCCAUUUUCCCUUGUGAUUAUGUACUGUCUUCUUCCUUGAUUAAUUGAGCUCCCUGGAAAUCACAUAGUGAUGCAACAUAGCCAGAUUUGGCUAGGCACAGCUACAGGCAUCACUGAGGACAAAUGAAGCCAAUUCAGUCUGCCUGCCCUCACUCUGAAUAUGCAAGCAUUUUCACCCCCUUCUGACAGCAAGCAGGAAGGAAGGGCAGACAGGUAGACAGAAAGGACUAGACUGGACAGUGAAAUGGGGGGGGGUGGUCAAGAAAAGCACCUUCAGCUUUGAGGAGGUCUAAUCCUGGAUACUAAAUGACCCGACUGUUCCACCAUUGCUUCACAUCUCCUGUUCCACCCAUACCUGGCCAUCUGUAAGCAGCCUUGGGCUGCUCCAGCCGUGAGGUGUAAUUUUGCUGCAUGGCACAACCUCCAGUUAGCUGUGCUUAGAACAUUCUGGUGACAAGCUCUACUCUUUCCACAUGGAAGGAGCAAGUGUGAUCCUUCCCUGCCAAGCUAUUUUGUAAACAUACAUGUACUGCAAAUCUGUUUCACUCAAACAAAUAUUUCCAGAAUAUGCUUAGUUAAGAAGCAUAUUAAGAAGCAAAUAAGUGAUUGGGCCUGAGAUGAUUACAUAAAAAACACUGGAAAGCGGCUUUUUUUAAAAGGCAAUCAGUUGAAUAAGGACAGUCAGAAAACACCCAGAAGGAUUACUGUUCUUGAUAAAUAUUACAAUAACUGUUGGAAUAAGCCAUUGCAUUGAGGAGGGUUAUUAAAGUUAUGUGGAUUUUUUUACAUCUGGAGAAAGAAACUGGUAUUUAUAUUGGUGUUAGUGCAUCAGAUAGAAAGGCUGUAACAUAUUUUGAUAUAUUCAAAACCUAGGUGAUAUAUAUAAUCUAUCACGUGUCUGCACAACUUGUGACCCGCCAAGCUGAAGCGACCAGUGGGAAUGCCAUGAGUCUCUGGAGCUUUCCACGUCUUUGAUCUACAGUUUUACUUCCUGUAGUGCUCUCUCCACCCAAUUUCUUCCCAACACUACACCCUUCCACUCUUUGUGAAGUGUCCCCUACCUGCUGUGUAAUUACCUCCUAUAGAUUUUGUAGAAAUGUUUCCAUAUCCAGGUAAGACUGGCAUCUUGGCUGUGUACACCCCAUACAGUGGUACCUUGGUUCUCAAACUUAAUCCGUUCUGGAAGUCCAUUCUAAAACCAAAGUGUUCCAAAACCAAGGUGUGCUUUCCCAUAGAAAGUAAUGCAAUAUGGAUUUAUCCAUUCCAGACUUUUAAAAACAACCCCUAAAACAGGAAUUUUACAUGAAUUUUACUAUCUCACGAGACCAUUGAUCCAUGAAAUGAAAGCAAUAAACAAUGUACUGCAGUCACACAACCAAUCAAUCAGUAGCUGAACUGGGUCCCACACAGUCACAAAAACAAAGCAAAAAAGCCGCAAAAACAAAAACGAAAGAUAAAUAGCAAAAACAGACAGACCUCAGCGUAACACUCAAAAUGGAAGUGUGGCACUCAAAUUGGAACACGUUUGGCUUCCCAAAAAAGUUCACAACCGGAACACUUCCAGGUUGGCCGGGUUUCGGUUCCAGGUUGUUUGAGUACCAUAACGUUUGAGAACCAAGGUACCACUGUACAUUUAAAGCACAUCUCCCCGCCACCAAAAUAACCUGGGAACUGUAGUUUGUUAAUGGUGCUGGGAAUUUUACCUCUGUGUGCGUAAAACUACAGUUUCUAAGAUUCGGAGGCGGGAUGUGCUUUCACAUACAUGAGUGAAACAAAACCUGAGAUCUCAGCUAUAAAAUAAUGCUCCUAGGUAAAUGGGUGGGUGGGGGAUCAUAGGCUUAUUUCCUAAAUAGAUUUACCUUCUGCCUUGUUGCCAGCUGCUUGAUUUCCAUGGUCUAGAUGAGAUCAGAGAACCCGUUAUUAUCCUCCAGCCUUUGUGUAAUCUUCAGGUUUGGCUUUCUGUUACUGUUUACUUAAACCAGCAAAAACCUGCUUAUUGUUUGUGAUUAUCUGCGCACCAAACGUAAAACUCUGUUAUUAUUGUAGACACAAGACAGAAGGGGGGGGAGGGCUUACGCUUUUCAUUCUUAAAACUGCAGUGUAAUUUGUGGCAAGAGAUUAUUAUGACCCUAUGGGAAUCAGAACAUCACUGACGCCUCACUUUCAGGGAAGAUAUAUAGGAGAGGCCUUCACUCGUGAUAUUUAUUUUAUUUUUAUUUUUUUACUCCUGUAGCUUCUUAGUAGGAUUCCCUACCCAGUCCUGCAGGUUUGGAUCUUCUUGGUACAAUUUUAUUUUCUGUCUAGCAGUGUGGCCUAUAUAAAGCAGCAGAUGAGGGCAAAGAAUAAUGACUUUACCUGGUGACCCAUUACAAUGUAUAUAGAAUCCAUGUUUAUUUGAGCUUUGCAUGGGGAGUGCAAACUGGACCUCUUAGGCUUCGGAUGAAUCUUCAGUUUUAUGGAUUCACUGAAGACCUUUAAAAGGUCAGGCUUUAUAUUUCCUCACAUGUAAUAUAUUCCUUUCAUGUGCUCAUAAAGAAAUCCCCUUCUUUCACCAAUGUAUGCAAUAAACCAGGGAUGAUAAGUCAGAAAUCAAGGAGAUCAUAGAUAUAAAGCCUCUUAAUAAACUUUCCAGAAACUAGAGUCAAGGAUGCAUUUCUCAAAAGGGAAUGUGUCUUUUUCCAAGAAAAUUGCCAGAAUGCUCUCUUAAUAUGCACUGAUUUAAUAAGCACUUGAAUGGAUUGGGGAAAUAUAAGAUUAGAUCAAGAAACAGUUUCGACUCAGAAAUAGAUCCGAUUUUUUUAAUAGCAAAAACCAAAACUGAUACAAGACGAAUCUUGAGGUUCAGGCACACCCUAAUCAACAUUUAUCAGUAGCCUCAUCAAUAUUAUUAAAUGAGAAGGAAGAGGGGGUGAUUCAUUUAAGAAAAUGAAUGGGAACAGAUCGAUGAGCAACCACAUUGCCUGAAAGAGAAAGAGUCAGACUUUUCAUUAAUUAAAAACAUUUGCCAUUCCCACUUUUUUAUUAAUUAAAGAACUGCUAGAUUACUGUACUGUAGUCUGCAGGAUGAUUUUAGCAUUGUUCAGUGCUCAUCACCACAUUCCUUAUUACUGCUUGUGAUUAUGCAAAUGUUUCAUUCUUCUGAGUUAACUCUGAGUUAACUUCUGAGUUAAUCAUACAAUCGUUCAGGGGGUUUCCAAUCUGUGUCAGAGAGGCUUAAUUUGGACCAUUAAGUGACCCUUAAAUCAACUUUCUUUGCAUUUUCUGCUUCUGCAAUUUGAGUGCAAAAGCUCUUCAUUCAGUAUAAAAUUAGCUCUAUUCUGCACAUUAACAGCAUUCACAGAGUACAAGAGAGGCUAGAUAGUGAAAUGUGAAGAUGCCCACUGAUUUCUUUUGAUAGAUUGGAUCAACGUAUCCAUAAUUGAGAGUCACUGGUAUUCUCCUUCAUCUUUACAUUUUUUCUCCUCCUCAGACACAGUUACACGCUGGAAAGGAUCUACAAGUUAGCAGUGUUCAUAAAGUGGUUGGAACAUCUUUCUGUCUGGCAUUAGACACUGGGCCUUGUUCAUUGGCUUCCUAUAAUUAACCAGAGAGCAUACUUACCUUGGAACAGCUUCGGGUGUAACUUGCAAAUCAUGCAGUCAUAUCAACGUUUCCAUUUUUUUCACUGUCAUAAUGUGGGAGGAAUGGUAUGAAACCUUUCACCAAUAUGUUGAUGGAUGAUGUGAUGAGUUAUUUUUGAAACACACCCCAACUCGGAGAAGGAGGAGAACAGGUUGUUAUUCCUGCCUGUUAAUGAAUUGCAGUCAUUUUCUCAUCUGCACUUAUUCCCUCCCAGUACAAGCACCUGUUUCUAAAGUCCACUUUCUUGAUCACUCUCUGGGUUUAAUUUACAGUGUGAUCCUAUGCAUGUGUACUCAGAAGAAAGUCUGUCUCUGUUAAUUGGGGCUUACUUUCCGGAAAGUUCAUAGCAUUGCAGCAUUAGUGCCACAAAUGGAAGCUUUGCUUUGUUACUUUAUAAGUUAUUGAUCACCUGUGGGAUACAAUGUGAGCAUAGUCAUGACUGAUUAGUAUCCUAGAUGGGAUAUUCUGGAACUACGGUGUUAUUCUGUGGAGAGCUAUGGAGUCUGAGAAAAUAUUUCACAUCAAUUAUUUGGGGGCGUUUACGCACCGAGAUAGAAUUUCUCACCUGCUUGAGUGUAUGCCACUUGGCUAGAGAUGAGAAGUCCUACAACUUAUUGGAAAUAUUGAUUAGAGCUAACAAAAAUCUGACUGACUUGCAUUUUCAUUAAACCAGACCUCCAUCUGCCCUUUCAAGAUGGAGACAGACACUGCUUUUGGGCACAUGUCUGACAGCAACUCCAAUAAACACUUUACAAUCAUGUUUGCUGCAGGUAUACUAGCAUUGCUGCAGGAAAAACCCGGGCACUAUUCCAACCAGACAACUUUUUCUCUAAAGAAAUGCAUUUAUUCUGCAUUUUCAUGCAUUCAUAUCUUUUAAAGAGCAAAAUGCAAAUAGCCCUUCUUCAUUGUCUCACUGAAUUAACCAAUGCUAACAUUUCAAUAUAAAGCCUGCUUAAUAGGCCAUAACUUGAAGGGAAAUGUCUGGGAUACUGGCUUGGGUGGGGAAGUAGCAGCAAAUUAUUCUCUUAUCUAACCUAUGCAUCAACAUCAUAAUCUAGGCGUAAUUAGCUAGCAUCUCACACCAAGCAGUAAAAGCAGAGAAGCUGGCUAAGCAUGUCUUCCAAACUUUGGAAUGAUUUGUAAUGUAUUCAAGAGUGCAAGGUGUGCCACAGGCUGAAUGCCUCACUUUUAUUUAAGCAGAGCUCUCAUGAACAUUUUUGUAGUGAUGUCAGCUGCAGCACAGAACUGCCCUAGUGCUCAGAAACUCGUGGCCAGCUAAAAGAGUCAUUUUCCUCAAAAAGCAGGAUGGACUUCAAUCGAACUGUGAACAUGGUUUAAGUCAUAACAUUGUGCCAGCCCUGGAUUGUCCAUACCAAAGACUGUAGUGGCUACAGUUUGGGGAGAAAGCAUGACCAACAAACAAACGAAGAUAUACAUGUUAAUUACCAGUUGCUGGAAACAAUCAAAUGAAACUUUUUAAAAAAAUCCUGAAGGGAUAAUGUCAAGGUAGUAACACUAUACACAAGCUUCUAUGGUUUGUCAUUACAGGAAUUAAUUUAAGCGAGCCUGCCGUGGCCAUGUGGAAGAGGUCAGAAACUUCUUCUACUGUCUUUGACUGACUGCAGCUUUUCAUUAUGUCAGAACACCAUGGACAGAAUGUGGUUCCAAAGUUUAGCCACCCCUGUCUUAAUGUGACAGAUGCCCUAGUCUUUUAGAAAUAUAACCACCCAGUAUUAGCCUCUAAGAGUUCAUAUUCUAAAACCUUAUUUAUGUACACAGCGUAAACAUAUUACAAAACAGCAGUCUCUUGUGGCUUGAAAUGAAGACAUGGAGAAGCCGGCCCUUACAUUGCACUGUAUGUGUGAACCGACCUUCUCCGGCCGUUUUCACUGUCCCUUGAUAAACCUCAAAAGAGGAGGGGAACAAGCCUGGGGGGUGAUUUUGGAGUGCAACUCUGUUUGUACAUGAGAGAACCCCCUCAGGAGAGAGACCUUAAAAAAGGUUGUACAUGUUCCACAAACAACCGCAACAGAGAAUUCAAAUUAGAGAUGUGGCAAAUGGAGAGUGGAAUGUAAUCAUCCAAGGGUCAGAGCCAGAGAUGGUUUUAGGGUAGCACUGGACACCGUGUUGCAGGGGCCGCCACAACAAUGCUGUAGAACGAGCAUGAGAGGUGGAGUGGUGCCAAAUUUUAACAUCAUGCAGGGCGCCCCUGAAAUUUGAGAGCCCAAAUUCUGCCACACUGCCAGAGCUCAGGGGCACCACAUGCAUGUUCACGACAUGCAGAAGGUCCCAGGUUCCAUCUGCAGCAUCUCCCCAUAGGCUGAGAGAGACUCCAGCAUGAAACCUGGGUGAGCCACUGUUGUCAGUGCAACCAAUACUCAGCUGGAUGGACCAAUAGUCUGAUUCAGUACAAGGCAGUUUCAUAUGAUAUCCAAGUUCAUGCAAGGAAUGACUCACACCAGGGAGAGUAUUCUCAGUCCCUGAAAGAUAUUUGUAUCAUAUUUACUGGAGCUAUUUUUAAUGUGUUUUACCUUUUAAAAACUACCUUUUAAAAAAAUAAGAGUGUUUCCAAGGAGUUAUAUUACAGAACAUUGCUCUGUUAGUGGUUAAGUCUUUUAUUAUUUGUUUGAACAGAUCUAUGUUUUCAGACAGCUGUCAAUAUUGCUGCCUUUGUCACUUUAGGAUUGUUUUCAUUUCUUGUUUGUUUGUUUUUAUGAGCCCAACUUGAGCAGCCUAUAAACAAUUUCAUAAAUGAAUAAAUAGUGUUGUGAGUUUUGGGAGGCGGGUUAGGAUGUAUGAUGCCUGAGCCCCUUCUAAUUCCUGAAUCUAGCAAGGAUUAAAACCUAAUGAAAGAUACCAUUGUUGAAUUAGCCAGGCAGGGGCCAUAAUAAAGCUGCUCUGUACCAGAGGGCAAAUGGAUGGGGCCCCUCCAUCUGGCUGGUAGUGAGGACAAUAGCCAUAGAGUUGUGUUUGUGAGCUGGGCUGGAAGCAGGUAGAGGCCAGGGAGUGAGAGUCAUGCUUGAUUUCUGCUUGACUCCAAGGCUGUGACUAAGGGAGAAGCAAGAUCUUGGGGGAGGCCCUCCACUGGAGGCUCAUGUUAUAUGUACGUGCA